This 158-nucleotide ribosomal RNA is filed under the name Escherichia coli. Its description in RNAcentral is "partial 23S ribosomal RNA". The stretch from base 1 to 141 matches the Rfam family "Bacterial large subunit ribosomal RNA", at positions 2790 to 2925 of the family's 2925-position model. The record is from RNAcentral. Lineage: Bacteria; Pseudomonadati; Pseudomonadota; Gammaproteobacteria; Enterobacterales; Enterobacteriaceae.
AAACUUGCCCCGAGAUGAGUUCUCCCUGACUCCUUGAGAGUCCUGAAGGAACGUUGAAGACGACGACGUUGAUAGGCCGGGUGUGUAAGCGCAGCGAUGCGUUGAGCUAACCGGUACUAAUGAACCGUGAGGCUUAACCUUACAACGCCGAAGCUGUU